CAGUCGCCGCGGUAAUACGAAGGGUGCAAGCGUUAAUCGGAAUUACUGGGCGUAAAGCGUGCGUAGGUGGUGGUUUAAGUCCGUUGUGAAAGCCCUGGGCUCAACCUGGGAAUUGCAGUGGAUACUGGGUCACUAGAGUGUGGUAGAGGAUAGUGGAAUUUCCGGUGUAGCAGUGAAAUGCGUAGAGGUCGGAAGGAACAUCUGUGGCGAAGGCGACUACCUGGGCCAACACUGACACUGAGGCACGAAAGCGUGGGGAGCAAACAGGAUUAGAUACCCCCGUAGUCCCUGUCUCUUAUAC
RNAcentral lists this ribosomal RNA (301 nucleotides) under uncultured bacterium. RNAcentral's name for it is "partial 16S ribosomal RNA". It matches the Rfam family "Bacterial small subunit ribosomal RNA", at positions 509 to 807 of the family's 1533-position model. The record is from RNAcentral.